RNAcentral lists this ribosomal RNA (480 nucleotides) under Pomacentrus brachialis (charcoal damsel). Its description in RNAcentral is "partial small subunit ribosomal RNA". It matches the Rfam family "Bacterial small subunit ribosomal RNA", at positions 788 to 1491 of the family's 1533-position model. The record is from RNAcentral. Lineage: Eukaryota; Metazoa; Chordata; Actinopteri; Pomacentridae.
CACUAUGCUCAGCCCUAAAAUUCGAUAGGUCACUACGCCCCCUAUCCGCCCGGGUACUACGAGCGUCAGCUUAAAACCCAAAGGACUUGGCGGUGCUUCACAUCCGUCUAGAGGAGCCUGUUCUAUAACCGAUAACCCCCGUUAAACCUCACCCUCCCUUGUUAAUCCCGCCUAUAUACCGCCGUCGUCAGCCUACCCUGUGAAGGACUAGAAGUGAGCAAGAUUGGUAAGACCCAAAACGUCAGGUCGAGGUGUAGUGUAUGAGAGGGGAAGAAAUGGGCUACAUUUCCUGAAUCAGGAAAUACGAACAAUGAACUGAAAUAAGCAUUAGAAGGUGGAUUUAGCAGUAAGCAGAUAAACAGAGUGUUCUGCUGAAGUUAAUGGCAAUAAAGCACGUACAUAUCGCCCGUCACUCUCCCCGAGCUAACAUAUUUUUAGAUACCUAAAACGCCACAUCUGCAAAGGGGAGGCAAGUCGUAA